RNAcentral lists this unclassified non-coding RNA (253 nucleotides) under uncultured Sphingobacteriales bacterium. Its description in RNAcentral is "contains 16S-23S intergenic spacer region". It matches the Rfam family "Bacterial small subunit ribosomal RNA", at positions 524 to 776 of the family's 1533-position model. The record is from RNAcentral. Lineage: Bacteria; Pseudomonadati; Bacteroidota; Sphingobacteriia; Sphingobacteriales.
GACGAAGGAUGCAAGCGUUAUCCGGAUUCAUUGGGUUUAAAGGGAGCGUAGGUGGCCUUGUAAGUCAGUGGUGAAAUCUCUGGGCUUAACCCAGAAAUUGCCAUUGAUACUGCAGGGCUUGAGUACAGAUGCCGUUGGCGGAAUAUGACAUGUAGUGGUGAAAUACAUAGAGAUGUCAUAGAACACCGAUUGCGAAGGCAGCUAACGAAACUGUAACUGACACUGAGGCUCGAAAGUGUGGGGAUCAAACAGG